Molecule: transfer RNA, 73 nt
Filed under: Mediterraneibacter gnavus
Lineage: Bacteria; Bacillati; Bacillota; Clostridia; Lachnospirales; Lachnospiraceae
Also listed under: 1 other name
Description: tRNA-Val
Rfam family: tRNA
About the family: Transfer RNA (tRNA) molecules are approximately 80 nucleotides in length. Their secondary structure includes four short double-helical elements and three loops (D, anti-codon, and T loops).
Source: RNAcentral
GGGGUCUUAGCUCAGCUGGGAGAGCAUCUGCCUUACAAGCAGAGGGUCACAGGUUCGAACCCUGUAGGCCCCA